RNAcentral lists this long non-coding RNA (578 nucleotides) under Fukomys damarensis (Damara mole-rat). RNAcentral describes it as "lncRNA (ENSFDAG00000023480.1)". Lineage: Eukaryota; Metazoa; Chordata; Mammalia; Rodentia; Bathyergidae. The record is from RNAcentral.
GGUCUCACUAUGUAGUUGACACUGACCUGGAACUCACUAUGUAGCCUAGGCUGGUCUGGAACUCACAGCAAUUCUCCUGCCUCAUCCUCCCCAGUGCUGGGAUUACAGGCAUGUGCCACCACCUCCAGCUAAGUUUUAUGAAUACCAGCUAAAUUGCAGUCUGUGUCUCAUAGCUGAACAGCCUCAGGUACCACACAGCCUUAAGCAGAAAAGAAGCUUCUGAGAGAAUUAUCCGCCUUGUGAAAAGCCUAACACAGAGGUACAGUUAGACUCAGGAGCCAGAACAUCUUUGUACAAAUUUCAACCCCUUCAUUUGCUUAUUGUGGAACUUCAGACAGGUUAGCUAUCCUCUCUGUGCUUCAUUUUCCUGAUCUGUAAAAUGGAGAAAAUAAUAGAACUAAUUUUAUACAGUUGUUGUGACGAUUAAGUGAAUAUACAAGGCCAGGGAUUUAGCUCAGUGGUUCAGUGGCCUGCCUUGCAAGCGCAAGGAUCCGAGUUCAAUUCCCGGUACACACACACAAAAAAAAAACAUGUAUACAUUCUUCUAAGCUCUUAGAAGAGUGCCUUCCUUGCACACA